UGGGGAAUAUUGGACAAUGGGCGCAAGCCUGAUCCAGCAAUGCCGCGUGUGUGAAGAAGGCCUUCGGGUUGUAAAGCACUUUUAUCUGGAGCGAAAUCUGCAGGGCUAAUACCCAUGCAGUCUGACGGUACCAGAGGAAUAAGCACCGGCUAACUUCGUGCCAGCAGCCGCGGUAAUACGUAGGGUGCGAGCGUUAAUCGGAAUUACUGGGCGUAAAGCGUGCGCAGGCGGUGAUGUAAGACAGGUGUGAAAUCCCCGGGCUUAACCUGGGAAUUGCAUUUGUGACUGCAUCGCUGGAGUGCGGCAGAGGGGGAUGGAAUUCCGCGUGUAGCAGUGAAAUGCGUAGAGAUCGGGAGGAACACCAGUGGCGAAGGCGGCUACCUGGACCAGCACUGACACUGAGUCACGAAAGCGUGGGGAGCAAACA
This 427-nucleotide ribosomal RNA is filed under the name uncultured bacterium. RNAcentral's name for it is "bacterial SSU rRNA". It matches the Rfam family "Bacterial small subunit ribosomal RNA", at positions 355 to 774 of the family's 1533-position model. The record is from RNAcentral.